Molecule: ribosomal RNA, 239 nt
Filed under: uncultured bacterium
Lineage: Bacteria
Description: partial 16S ribosomal RNA
Rfam family: Bacterial small subunit ribosomal RNA
Source: RNAcentral
UACGUAGGUGGCAAGCGUUGUCCGGAAUUAUUGGGCGUAAGCGCGCGCAGGCGGCCUCUUAAGUCUGAUGUGAAAGCCCCCGGCUCAACCGGGGAGGGCCUUGGAAACUGGGAGGCUUGAGUAUAGGAGAAGAAGAGUGGGAAUUCCACGUGUAGCGGUGAAAUGCGUAGAGAUGUGGAGGAACACCAGUGGCGAAGGCGACUCUUUGGCCUAUAACUGACGCUGAGGCGCGAAAGCGU